ACCAUAAUGCCCUUGGUCCGCCACCUUCCUUCAGCCAAUCUCCUCUCUGCGUCCUUCUCCAAACCCCUUCGUUUCCUCUCAAUGGCGACCAAGACCCACUUGGAUUCCAUCGAUUCCCAGGUCAAAAACGACCCCACAAGUCUCCAAAAUUACCCGGUACCCCUGUCCCCACCACUGCCCUCCAUAUCCAAGAACAUAGAGCUCAACAGAGCCUUAACUGCUUCUUCAAGAUCGUCCCUUUUUUCUCUUUCAAGAAAUCAUGUGCUUUUUGAAGACCAGUGGCUCAUUGCUAUUAACAAGCCUCAAGGGAUUUACUGUGAGAAUGUCUUGUCUGCUGUCCCGAGCCUACUCACCGAUUCCACUGACUCAGGAACUGAAGUGAAGCUGACGGAGCUUCAUCUAGCUAAUAGACUUGAUCGUGACACUAGUGGUAUCAUGAUAAUUACCAAGUCACAUAAAGUGGCUGCCAAGCUUGUAAAAGCUUUUACAGAACACAAGGUCAGGAAAACAUACAUAGCUUCCUGUGUUGGUCAAGCUCCAAAAUGGGUAAAUAUCACAAUGAAGUCCGGUCAUGGACGAUCAAGGUACGGAGCCUGGCGUGUUUAUGCUGCUUCAGAUGUGGGUAAGACACUACCAGGCGGAUCAAUUGUCAAGGAUAUGGAAACCUUAUUUGAAGUGUUAUCAGUAAAUGAGCAAGGGCAAUUUAAAGAGUUUUCUGAAUCAGGAAGAGACAUAUCAGAAGUUAUGAUUAUUGAACAGAAAUCUGAAAUUGAUUGCAACUUGAAGAAAGAUGAGAUUUUGGUGAGAGCAUACCCCAAGAGUGGAAGAACACAUCAAAUUCGCUUGCACUGCCAGUACCUGGGAAUGCCUAUUAGAGGGGAUGUAAAAUAUGAAGGUGCCUAUGAGUGGAAAGAAAGAACAUAUGAUGGUCAUGAGCUUCACGCAGAGAGCUUGUCCUUUGAGCAUCCUGUUACUGCUGAAAAUGUGUUAAUUCAAGCACCUCUACCAUCGUGGGCUUGCCAAUUUUUUGAGUCUGAGCCAUUGUGGACAAACUAAAGCUUUCAAAGUUCUAGGAAUCAUGUAGCAAGAUACUACUCCUGUUCAGUUCCACAAUAGCACAUUAGUCCUGAUUUACAUUCAUUAUUAACAAGCCGCAGAAGGUUUUGGUGCGCUAUUUAAUGAGAUAACUUAUUGCAUCUGUGUAUUGCAGUCGAUGAUAUAAGAAUCAUGCGAUUUGGAGAUGAGAUUGCUCCUACAUUGCAGCAGAUGGACUAGUGCAUAAUUAAGGUAUAAGUAAUCAUCUUUAAAUUCAAAAUGAGCAUCUCAGGGAUUACUGCAGCGAGGAACAUACACAGGAAACAGCAAAGAAUCAUGAUCCUCUUCUGCUAGAAGUUCACGAUAGCUGUGACUAGGAUAUGUGCUUUAUGCCUGGAAACCUGGAUCAAAACUCAUCGUGUUUGACCAGAAACAGCCAGUAAUUUGUCUUUGACUUCCAAGUUGCUGGGUGGACUUAGGAUUCUGCUUUGAGUGAUUAAAUGUCAUAGAGCCUCUUUCUUUGCUCUAAACGGUGAGGUGCUCGUUGGGCAAAUAUAAAAUCUAGGAUUUGGCUGGUUCAAUAAGACCAGGUAUUUGUUAGGUGAAUAGACUUGCCAACAUUUAUAGUUAAGUGUACGGAAUUUCGUGUUGAAUAUCUGGUCCAAACCAUAGUUUUUGCAUUUCCAUUUAUUAUCCGUCCGUCCUUUUUAUUCGUUUACGAAAGUUGAUGAGACUUGUACUGAAGCACAGAGAGUGGCAUCUUAGUAAUGCCCUAAGGUAAUAGAAUUUUAUGAUUAACUCGUUAAUUUCCACUUUGUAGUUUUCCAGCCGCCUAUUCAGAUUGUUUGCAGCCAUGUGAAAUUGAAGAUUCUAAAGUCCUGGAGUUCUGUUCUUUCCUCUUUUAGAUUAAACAACAGCAGUCUGAUGUUCCAGAACUGAUGUAAAUUUUCACAGGGACGCCCAUAUGUGCAUCAAAUUUUCAAUCUUGGAUACAGAUCAGAACGUGGGUUUCCAUGAACUAUGAUUAAUUAAAAGAGGUAUAAAUGUGAAUUCAAGACGCAGCAAAGGUGGGGAGAUUCAUUGCCAAGAAUACAAAUAAAGUUCUUUUACUUUUUCUGAUAUCCUUUCACGAUGAAACUUUCAAAUGAAGAUCUCGACCAUUGACUUUCCUGAAGGAACUUGCUGCGUAGCUACUAGCUACAGAGUACAGAGUCGCCUUGGACAUCAAGCAUCAGCACUUCAAAAGAGGCAACUUUGGACUUUUGUCACCUUAAUUGCUAAAAUAUAUUCCUCUUAUCUUAAAAAUUAAAACCCUUUUAGCUAACAGGAUUUCCGUACCAAACCUGUUGCAUAUGUAAUCAUGUCGUUAAGUUGACUGGAUGUUUAGGCAUGCACUACUCCUCUCUUUCUCUGUAGACAUGGGACGUAAAUUUUUAUUACUCCUCUUAAGGAAUUUGACUGUCAUGGUGCAGUUACAUUUAUUGCCUGUAAAAAUGCUUAUGAUCACUGGAAAUGACAUAUUCUUGCAUGUA
This is a non-coding RNA of Coffea arabica (coffee), 2567 nucleotides long. The record is from RefSeq and is a predicted model, not a curated record. NCBI's taxonomy places the organism in Eukaryota, Viridiplantae, Streptophyta, Magnoliopsida, Gentianales, Rubiaceae.